This is a long non-coding RNA of Sander lucioperca (pikeperch), 681 nucleotides long. RefSeq lists it as uncharacterized. NCBI's taxonomy places the organism in Eukaryota, Metazoa, Chordata, Actinopteri, Perciformes, Percidae. The transcript has 2 exons. The record is from RefSeq and is a predicted model, not a curated record.
GUCCAGACCGAACUUCCCGACCUCAAAUGAUGUGGGUGGGGCUAAGUUUGGCUGGCAUCCAGGCUAACACGAGAGUUAAGCGGGCCAAAACUGCCCAACUUUUCAAAUCUGUUUGGGAUUUAAAUUGAAAUGUUCUAAAACUGAAAAAAAGCUGAAAAUACAAAGAACUUUUGCUUGAUGAAUAAUUGAUACAUCCGUUUCAGCCCUAUUUUUUUUUUUUUUUACAACCUAAUAACACCUAAAGUCUCCAUGCUAUCUCCACCUUGGAUGUUUCAGUGAGUGCUGAUGGUCAUGUUGCUCUGUGUGCCGCAGCAAAGCUCGUUGUACACCAACCAAUCAGCGCGCAGCUCAUUUAAAUAUUCAUGAGCAGACCAUAUAAGGCAGAAAAGCUCUGGUUUCAAUCCUGGCCCAUUUAACAGGGUAGCAUGAGGGCCAAAAGAACAGCAAAAGGGACAUUUUUAACCCAACAUAUGUUACAUACACUAUUAGGAGACCUUAAGGAACAGCGUGAAAUACCCUAUAUAACCAUUCUAUCACCCCUUUAAUAGAUUAUAGAGAACUUUCCAGGUGAAUAUUUUUUUCAGACAAGAGUUUCUAACCAUCUUAAAUGAACCCUUUCAAACUUUAGAUGUUAAAACGAGCUGUGUGUCAGUGUAUGGCUGCUAGAAGGAGGAAAAAAAA